Molecule: long non-coding RNA, 910 nt
Organism: Solanum pennellii
Lineage: Eukaryota; Viridiplantae; Streptophyta; Magnoliopsida; Solanales; Solanaceae
Exons: 2
Source: RefSeq, a predicted model, not a curated record
AUAUGAGAUUUUUGUUUUUUUUAUAUUUCUAAUUAAUUGCCUCUGAACAUGUUUAUUUUGGCUUUGUGAGAUGAUGGAAAUGCAAAAAUGGUGUCUUUUUUAAAAGCCCAAAACCAGAAAACUGAAAAAAAGCAGACUUUUAAUGAACAAAGUCAUAAUUUGUUUACUGGGGAAGAAAAGUGGUAUGGACAAUUAAUGGAGUUGUAAAAAAGAUACCUUUGAUAAGGUCUCUAAUGGCGGUGAAAGAUUUCUGCAAGAGGAAAUCUUAACAAUUACAUCCAAUUCAUUCAUUUUUGAAAAAUCCUUGAUAAGACUUCAAAUGUGUGGAUUUGCUGAUCUACGAGUGACAUUAUUAAGGUACUCAGGUGGUUGGCAACUUGACUAUGCCAUAAGCAUCUGUAAAUCUAUUAGCAUAGAAGAGUAUCUAGAUGGAGGUGAAGUAUACACUAUUUAUUUCCCAAGAGUGAACAGAUUUUCUGAAGGAAAGGAGGAUGGAAAACUUAGCCUUUUAGCAUUUCAUGGAUCAAAGUAGAAUGUUUAUAAUCUCGUGUAUUCCACUAAAUGGUGGGAUGAGUAGCAAUUGACUGUGAGGUUGAAUGUGGGAGCUGUUUAUAAUUCAACGUUAUGUUAGGAAAAUAAAAUAUCAGUGAGGGUAGGCUGCACGCUAUCCCUUGGUUGUUCACUUGUGUCGUAUUGGAAUGAACUUGAGGGGGAUGAGUGUGAGGGAGUUAUAUAUAAUCCGACUUUACAAGCAUUUACUUGUUCCAAGGACUUCGCGAGUAAAAGUCUCGCAGUUGCCUGCUAAUUGAUGAGAGUCAUAAGUAAAUCCCAUUGAAUGGUGGUUAGAACAGAUUCUUAGAUGUAACAUGUGUAAUAUAACAAAUAAAAGAAAGCAGUGAAUUCAUAUGUA